This 77-nucleotide ribosomal RNA is filed under the name Fusarium sp. RNAcentral describes it as "partial 28S ribosomal RNA". The record is from RNAcentral. Lineage: Eukaryota; Fungi; Ascomycota; Sordariomycetes; Hypocreales; Nectriaceae.
UGUUGACCUCGGAUCAGGUAGGAAUACCCGCUGAACUUAAACAUAUCAAUAAGGCGGAGGAACAAGGGCUUGGUCAU